UUGCCCACUUUAAGAUGUCCUGUUCUUUAAGUGGCCAACAUAAAGGGGUAUAAUAAAGCUCUCUAAAACUCAAAGUAAAAAAAAAACAAGUGUUUGCUUUGAAUCCUGUCUGGAGCAACACAG
This is a small nucleolar RNA of Rana temporaria (common frog), 123 nucleotides long. RefSeq annotates it as small nucleolar RNA SNORA26. The transcript has a single exon. The record is from RefSeq and is a predicted model, not a curated record. NCBI's taxonomy places the organism in Eukaryota, Metazoa, Chordata, Amphibia, Anura, Ranidae.